Long non-coding RNA from Trachemys scripta elegans, 230 nucleotides. RefSeq lists it as uncharacterized. The record is from RefSeq and is a predicted model, not a curated record. NCBI's taxonomy places the organism in Eukaryota, Metazoa, Chordata, Testudines, Emydidae. The transcript has 3 exons.
CAGCGCGCGGUCGGCGCUGGGGCGAGGUGCGGGAUGCGGCGCCGGCUGGGAGCGGAAGCGCCAUGGGGAGCACAGGGAGAUGGAGAUUAUUCUUCUGCUGUGUUGGCCCUCCACCAGACAAUGAAUCUCUUCUAAGAUGUUGUUCAAACAAAGUUCAUCCAGAGUGGGCUGGUGAAUCUGAGAAGGAAGGUGAAGAUUCAAACCAGGAAAUCACAUGGCCAGAAGGACCU